UACGUAGGGGGCAAGCGUUGUCCGGAUUUAUUGGGCGUAAAGAGCGUGUAGGCGGCCAGAUAGGUCUGUUGUGAAAACUCGAGGCUCAACCUCGAGACGCCGAUGGAAACCAUCUGGCUAGAGUCCGGAAGAGGAGAGUGGAAUUCCUGGUGUAGCGGUGAAAUGCGCAGAUAUCAGGAAGAACACCCGUGGCGAAGGCGGCUCUCUGGGACGGUACUGACGCUGAGACGCGAAAGCGUGGGGAGCAAACAGG
Molecule: ribosomal RNA, 253 nt
Filed under: uncultured bacterium
Lineage: Bacteria
Description: partial 16S ribosomal RNA
Rfam family: Bacterial small subunit ribosomal RNA
Source: RNAcentral